This 501-nucleotide ribosomal RNA is filed under the name uncultured bacterium. Its description in RNAcentral is "partial 16S ribosomal RNA". It matches the Rfam family "Bacterial small subunit ribosomal RNA", at positions 29 to 523 of the family's 1533-position model. The record is from RNAcentral.
AUUGAACGCUGGCGGCACGCCUUACACAUGCAAGUCGAACGGCAGCACGGGUGCUUGCACCUGGUGGCGAGUGGCGAACGGGUGAGUAAUACAUCGGAACGUACCUUAUCGUGGGGGAUAACGCAGCGAAAGCUGUGCUAAUACCGCAUACGCCCUGAGGGGGAAAGCGGGGGAUCGCAAGACCUCGCGCGAUUAGAGCGGCCGAUGCCUGAUUAGCUUGUUGGUGGGGUAAAAGCCCACCAAGGCGACGAUCAGUAGCUGGUCUGAGAGGACGAUGAGCCACAAUGGGACUGGGACACGGCCCAGACUCCUACGGGAGGCAGCAGUGGGGAAUUUUGGACAAUGGGGGCAACCCUGAUCCAGCAAUGCCGCGUGAGUGAAGAAGGCCUUCGGGUUGUAAAGCUCUUUUGUCAGGGAAGAAACACCGGCUCUAACACAGUCCGGGAAUGACGGUACCUGAAGAAUAAGCACCGGCUAACUACGUGCCAGCCGCCGCCGUAA